Molecule: ribosomal RNA, 253 nt
Filed under: uncultured bacterium
Lineage: Bacteria
Description: partial 16S ribosomal RNA
Rfam family: Bacterial small subunit ribosomal RNA
Source: RNAcentral
UACGUAGGCAGCAAGCGUUGUUCGGAGUUACUGGGCGUAAAGGGUGCGUAGGCGGUCGGGUAAGUCUGAUGUGAAAUCUCACAGCUUAACUGUGAAACUGCAUUGGAUACUAUCCGGCUAGAGGAAUGGAGGGGAGACUGGAAUACUUGGUGUAGCAGUGAAAUGCGUAGAUAUCAAGUGGAACACCAGUGGCGAAGGCGAGUCUCUGGACAUUUCCUGACGCUGAGGCACGAAAGCCAGGGGAGCAAACGGG